UACGUAGGGUGCAAGCGUUAAUCGGAAUUACUGGGCGUAAAGCGUGCGUAGGUGGUUUGUUAAGUCUGCUGUGAAAGCCCCGGGCUCAACCUGGGAAUGGCAGUGGAUACUGGCAAGCUAGAGUGCGGUAGAGGGGUGUGGAAUUCCCGGUGUAGCGGUGAAAUGCGUAGAGAUCGGGAGGAACACCAGUGGCGAAGGCGGCACCCUGGACCAGCACUGACACUGAGGCACGAAAGCGUGGGGAGCAAACAGG
This 253-nucleotide ribosomal RNA is filed under the name uncultured bacterium. RNAcentral's name for it is "partial 16S ribosomal RNA". It matches the Rfam family "Bacterial small subunit ribosomal RNA", at positions 524 to 776 of the family's 1533-position model. The record is from RNAcentral.